Molecule: ribosomal RNA, 468 nt
Filed under: uncultured bacterium
Lineage: Bacteria
Description: partial 16S ribosomal RNA
Rfam family: Bacterial small subunit ribosomal RNA
Source: RNAcentral
GACGAACGCUGGCGGCGUGCUUAACACAUGCAAGUCGAACGGAAAGGCCCUGCUUUUGUGGGGUGCUCGAGUGGCGAACGGGUGAGUAACACGUGAGUAACCUGCCCUUGACUUUGGGAUAACUUCAGGAAACUGGGGCUAAUAUCGGAUAGGAGCUCCUGCUGCAUGGUGGGGGUUGGAAAUUUUCGGCGGUUGGGGAUGGACUCGCGGCUUAUCAGCUUGUUGGUGGGGUAGUGGCUUACCAAGGCUUUGACGGGUAGCCGGCCUGAGAGGGUGACCGGCCACAUUGGGACUGAGAUACGGCCCAGACUCCUACGGGAGGCAGCAGUGGGGAAUAUUGCACAAUGGGCGGAAGCCUGAUGCAGCAACGCCGCGUGCGGGAUGACGGCCUUCGGGUUGUAAACCGCUUUCGCCUGUGACGAAGCGUGAGUGACGGUAAUGGGUAAAGAAGCACCGGCUAACUACGUG